GACGAACGCUGGCGGCGUGCUUAACACAUGCAAGUCGAACGGAAAGGCCCUGCUUUUGUGGGGUGCUCGAGUGGCGAACGGGUGAGUAACACGUGAGUAACCUGCCCUUGACUUUGGGAUAACUUCAGGAAACUGGGGCUAAUACCGGAUAGGAGCUCCUGCUGCAUGGUGGGGGUUGGAAAGUUUCGGCGGUAGGGGAUGGACUCGCGGCUUAUCAGCUUGUUGGUGGGGUAGUGGCUUACCAAGGCUUUGACGGGUAGCCGGCCUGAGAGGGUGACCGGCCACAUUGGGACUGAGAUAGGGACCAGACUCCUACGGGAGGCAGCAGUGGGGAAUAUUGCACAAUGGGCGGAAGCCUGAUGCAGCAACGCCGCGUGCGGGAUGACGGCCUUCGAGUUAUAAACCGCUUUCGCCUGUGACGAAGCGUGAGUGACGGUAAUGGGUAAAGAAGCAACGGCUAACUACGUG
Molecule: ribosomal RNA, 468 nt
Filed under: uncultured bacterium
Lineage: Bacteria
Description: partial 16S ribosomal RNA
Rfam family: Bacterial small subunit ribosomal RNA
Source: RNAcentral